ACUACCCGCUGAACUUAAGCAUAUCAAUAAGCGGAGGAAAAGAAACUAACAAGGAUUCCCCUAGUAACUGCGAGUGAAGAGGGAAGAGCUCAAAUUUAAAAUCUGGCAGUCUCUGGCUGUCCGAGUUGUAAAUUAGAGAAGCGUUAUCCGCGUUGGCCUGUGCAAAAGUCUCUUGGAAAAGGGCAUCAUAGAGGGUGACAAUCCCGUCUUUGGCACAGACUACCAGUGCUGUUGUGAUACGCUUUCGAAGAGUCGAGUUGUUUGGGAAUGCAGCUCUAAAUGGGUGGUAAAUUCCAUCUAAAGCUAAAUAUUGGCGAGAGACCGAUAGCGCACAAGUACCGUGAGGGAAAGAUGAAAAGAACUUUGAAAAGAGAGUUAAACAGUACGUGAAAUUGUUGAAAGGGAAACGCUUGAAGUCAGUCGUGUCCUUCAGGAAUCAACCUGACCUUUUGGUUUGGGCGUACUUUCUGACUGGACAGGCCAGCAUCAAUUUUGACCGUCGGAUAAAGGCCUUGGGAAAGUGGCAUCUCUGGAUGUGUUAUAGCCCAUGGUUUGAUACGAUGGUUGGGAUUGAGGAACUCAGUGUGAAUUGGGGCUUCGGCCCACAUGCACGCACUUAGGAUGCUGGCAUAAU
Molecule: ribosomal RNA, 634 nt
Filed under: uncultured Basidiomycota
Lineage: Eukaryota; Fungi; Basidiomycota
Description: LSU rRNA
Rfam family: Eukaryotic large subunit ribosomal RNA
Source: RNAcentral